CUGCCUCCAUGUCUUUAACUUGGUUAUCCUCCAUUCCAGAAAUGUACUCACUCUUCACUUUUGCUUCCUGGAACCUCUGGUUUCCUUCCAAGCUCAGCUCAAGAAGUAUAAGAAAUGUUUCUUAAUCUCUUCCCUCCCCUCAAUUGCUAAGUUUCUCCCUCUUCCCUGAAACUAUCUUUUAUUUAUUUUGUGCAUAAUUCAUAUGUAACAAGAUAUCAAUGAAGAGCAGAACUUCUUCUUCCUUCUUCUUCUUCUUUCUUCUUCUUUCUUCUUCUUCUUCUUUCUUCUUCUUCUUUCUUCUUCUUUCUUCUUCCUUCUUCUUCUUCUUCUUCUUCUUCUUCUUCUUCUUCUUCUUCUUCUUCUUCUUCUUCUUCUUCUUCUUCUUCUUCUUCUUCUUCUUCUUCUUCUUCUUCUUCUUCUUCUUCUUCUUCUUCUUCUUCUUCUUCUUCUUCUUCUUCUUCUUCUUCUUCUUCUUCUUCUUCUUCUUCUUCUUCUUCUUCUUCUUCUUUGAAAAAGAUGAUUUGCUCAAAGCUUAGAAAGUGUCUGAGCUAGAACUUGAAGCAACAUCUUUCUGGCUCCCAUGUCCAAUACUGUAUGCAUUACACCAUGAUAUUUAUCAAACUCUAGUCCUCAAUCCAAAUUUCAGAGUUCGUUUCUCUGCUCCCUGAUGCCUCCUCAAAGAACAGGUCAAAAUGAUGGAUUAAGUUGAAGUAUUGGAAUAUCAUAGUUAUGCCUGACAUUAUAAUCUCUCCAAGGUAGCUCUUGAGGAGAUGAGCUGGAGGCUGUGUUCCUUUUGGGUAGUCUUUGAGAACCUUGGUUUACCACAAUAGUCAGUUCCCUGAGGUAUAUUCUCUGUUUGCCCAUUGUCCUUGCCCAUAACUAGAUCUAGUCCUUUUUCCUUAAUCAACGGUUCAAACACAGUCUUAAUCAUGUCUUCUAAGUUGGUAUCCAUGGGCAUAAUCUUUUCUGCCUUAAGGGGAACCACAAAUCUGAACACUUUCUUCACUUGAGUCAGAGUCUGCAACAUAGCCAUAAAGAGCCCAUACACUUAUGCCAGGAUUUGCCAGAGUACCAACUCAUGUUGAAAUGGCAACUGCAAAAUAGACAUUGUAAUGUUGCCUACAUAAUCCAAAGUUUCCACUACCAUAUGGGUAAGCUUGCUGUAUAAAAUAUGGUAUACCCCAAAACAGGCAAUGGCUGCCACAAUCACAACUCCAAAAACCACUUGUCUGAACAUUUUGUCUAUCUUCCUUUAAUAGGGAUCUGUAGGGUUCAGUCAAACUUGAGGUGCCAAUUGUAAUAGCAAAUACAAAACCACUAAGGUCUCUCAGCUUAACUCCAGAGUUUCCCCCUCAAGGGUCCUUCAGCCUGGGACAGAGGCUAAUAAUAUUAGCUCUCAGCUUCUUCCCCCUUCAGCCAGGCUUGCUCCCUUUGGUCAGAAAAAUCCAGAGCCAAGGUCUCCUUUCUUGAUCAGUCAACCCCCAGAGAGAGAGACAGAAACAGUCCCCAGUUUCUCUCCCUGGCCAGCUUCAACUG
This 1536-nucleotide long non-coding RNA is filed under the name Monodelphis domestica (gray short-tailed opossum). RNAcentral's name for it is "lncRNA (ENSMODG00000051002.1)". Lineage: Eukaryota; Metazoa; Chordata; Mammalia; Didelphimorphia; Didelphidae. The record is from RNAcentral.